UGUUUUAAAAUUUUUUCGAGAGAUAGGAUCUCGCUUAGUUGCCCAGGCUGGUCUUGAACUCCUGGGCUCAAGCAAUCUUCCCACUUUGGACCCCCACAGUGCUGGGAUUACAGGGGUAAGCCACCACACCCAACCUCAAUCUUCUUGUGAUCUGUUAUGUUGACAACCAAGACAGCUACUUAGUGGUUGGUUGAUGGGUGGACAGUGUAUACAGCAUGGACACACUGGACAGAGGCAUGACUCAAUGUUCCAGUAUUUUCAGAUUUCAGGUGACUGCUGUAACUUGAAGCAAGAAAAGUGAAACUACAGAAAAGGGAGGACCACUGGACGGCUGCUUUCAUUCUACGCCCACUUUUUAGAGUGCAUUCCUACAAUAAGCACCCUAAUAAUGUAAACCAGGGGCCAAGGGAUGCACCUUCCACUCUACUUCCUUCC
This 435-nucleotide long non-coding RNA is filed under the name Homo sapiens (human). Its description in RNAcentral is "novel transcript, antisense to SNX6". Lineage: Eukaryota; Metazoa; Chordata; Mammalia; Primates; Hominidae. The record is from RNAcentral.